AACGAACGCUGGCGGCAGGCCUAACACAUGCAAGUCGAACGAGAUCCUUCGGGGUCUAGUGGCGCACGGGUGCGUAACGCGUGGGAAUCUGCCCUUAGGUUCGGAAUAACAGUUAGAAAUGACUGCUAAUACCGGAUGAUGACGUUAAGUCCAAAGAUUUAUCGCCUGAGGAUGAGCCCGCGUAGGAUUAGCUAGUUGGUGUGGUAAAGGCGCACCAAGGCGACGAUCCUUAGCUGGUCUGAGAGGAUGAUCAGCCACACUGGGACUGAGACACGGCCCAGAGACAGGGGGGCGGCAGGGGGGGGGAAGCUGGCAGUGGGGCAGAUGGCCUGGCGACGGAACGCGGCGUGGGUGAUGAAGGCUUGGGUGUUGAGCCUUUCUUCUCACGGGGAGGAUAACGACGAUACGGGGGGAAUACGCCCCUGCAGACACCGCGGCAGCGGCCGCUGUAAUAAUCGGCAGAGUACACGUCCGACC
RNAcentral lists this ribosomal RNA (477 nucleotides) under uncultured bacterium. RNAcentral describes it as "partial 16S ribosomal RNA". It matches the Rfam family "Bacterial small subunit ribosomal RNA", at positions 33 to 541 of the family's 1533-position model. The record is from RNAcentral.